This 253-nucleotide ribosomal RNA is filed under the name uncultured bacterium. Its description in RNAcentral is "partial 16S ribosomal RNA". It matches the Rfam family "Bacterial small subunit ribosomal RNA", at positions 524 to 776 of the family's 1533-position model. The record is from RNAcentral.
UACGGGGGGGGUAAGCGUUGUCCGGAAUUACUGGGCGUAAAGAGCUCGUAGGUGGUUUGUCGCGUUGUCCGUGAAAACUCACAGCUCAACUGUGGGCGUGCGGGCGAUACGGGCAGACUGGAGUACUGCAGGGGAGACUGGAAUUCCUGGUGUAGCGGUGGAAUGCGCAGAUAUCAGGAGGAACACCGGUGGCGAAGGCGGGUCUCUGGGCAGUAACUGACGCUGAGGAGCGAAAGCGUGGGGAGCGAACAGG